CUGCUUUAUCUCUGGACGUGGAGGCCGCUCCUCCACGCAACCCCAAUCUCACCUGCUCCCCCUUUCCUCCUCCCCACGCAAAGGGACGGAGGGGAAAACCCCAUAGCCACCGUCACGAGCUCACCAUGGCGCCGCCGCUCCAGUGCGUCCCCCGUUGUUCUGAGGGCACCGGCGGGUGCGCCUCGUCGUCCUCUACCACCUCCUGCAAGCAAUCGACCAGGGACGCCUCGAAUUGACGCCGGCAACCUCGUUUCCUCCUCAGCACCGGCGGCCAAAUCCACCGAAUUCGGCCAUCUCCGCCUUCCUCCGGCGCAGCCGACCCCUCCGCGAUGUUCCAGGUGACCUUGCCCGUCCACAGAACCAUUGGCCUCUCCCUAUUUCGUUCUCUACCGAGUUGCCUACGUUGACCGCUGAUCUUCUCCGCAGAACCUCAUCGCCGACCAUUCUCCGGUGGUGCCCCGGCCUCUUCUCCGCCCGUAGCAGGUCCUCCCCGUCGCGGCGCACCUCCAGCACUAACACGCCCUUCUUGGUUCGCCCGAAAUCUGCAGAUCGUUGUUUGUUCUGUGAGUUCCGCCAUAGCUUCCAGUUCUGAGCUCCGCCUCCCGUGGUUCAAGUCGACGCGGGCCCUUUCCUUGACACCAUCCGACCAACAGCUCAGUGAUCUGAAGUCUGAUGGGCCUUGGCCCAGAUCUUCACGCCGCGGGCCGUUGCUCCGCGCGCCCAGCUUCUAUCCGCCACCGCUUCCGCCAGCAGUUGAUUCUUCCCGGAUAGGACCGCAAAGUGGUGCGGUGAGAAACGCCAAGUUCUCCGGAUGUCUCUCAGCAAGCUUUAACAGGCA
Long non-coding RNA from Lolium perenne, 838 nucleotides. RefSeq lists it as uncharacterized. The record is from RefSeq and is a predicted model, not a curated record. NCBI's taxonomy places the organism in Eukaryota, Viridiplantae, Streptophyta, Magnoliopsida, Poales, Poaceae.